This 693-nucleotide ribosomal RNA is filed under the name Triticum aestivum (bread wheat). RNAcentral describes it as "partial small subunit ribosomal RNA". Lineage: Eukaryota; Viridiplantae; Streptophyta; Magnoliopsida; Poales; Poaceae. The record is from RNAcentral.
AUGCCAGAAUAUACAGUGUCUGACAGAGAUCCUAUUUUCACUAGUACCUUUUGGCAGACUCUGGUCAAAAGAACUGGCACUCACCUUAACAUGAGUACUGCUUACCAUCCUGCUACUGAUGGCCAAACAGAAAGGGUAAAUCAGCAGGUAGAGUGUUAUCUCAGAAGUUUUAUCAGUGCACACCCAAAACAGUGGAGCAAGUGGCUUGCAAUGUGUGAGUUCUGGUACAAUACCAAUUGGCACUCUGCAGUGGGUAAGACUCCCUUUGAGAUUUUAUAUGGGCACACCCCCAGAUAUUUUGGGAUUUCUGCUGGUGAUACUGUUGCUGCUCCUGAUAUACAACAGUGGCUUUUGGAGAGACAGAUUGUUUUAGAUUCAGUUACCCAUCACUUACAUAGAGCUCAACAAAGAAUGAAAACGCAGGUAGAUAAACACAGAACUGAGCGUGUUUUUGAAGUUGGGGACAUGGUGUUCCUCAAACUUCAACCCUAUGUGCAGUCAUCAGUUGCUUGUCGGGCCAACCAUAAGCUCUCCUUCAAGUUUUUUGGGCCCUACAACAUCAUUGGCAAAAUCGGUGAAGUUGCUUACAAAUUGGACCUACCUCCUACCAGUAAGAUCCACCCUGUCUUCCAUGUUUCACAACUCAAAAAAGUGCCAAUUCAAGUUCUUCUGUCUCGAGUCCGUCAAGUUGGA